Molecule: ribosomal RNA, 595 nt
Filed under: uncultured Magnetobacterium sp.
Lineage: Bacteria; Pseudomonadati; Nitrospirota; Thermodesulfovibrionia; Thermodesulfovibrionales; Magnetobacteriaceae (SeqCode)
Description: bacterial SSU rRNA
Rfam family: Bacterial small subunit ribosomal RNA
Source: RNAcentral
AACGAACGCUGGCGGCGUGCUUAACACAUGCAGUCGAACGGGUUCAUAAUGAGUAGCAAUACUUGAUAUGAGUUAGUGGCGGACGGGUGAGUAACACGUAGGUAACCUACCCUUGAGCGGGGGACAACCCAGGGAAACUUGGGCUAAUACCCCAUAGGACCACGGGGUGUGAAUCUUGUGGUAAAAGUAGCGAUACGCUCAUGGACGGGCCUGCGGCCUAUCAGGUAGUUGGUGAGGUAACGGCCCCCAAGCCAAAGACGGGUAGCCGGGCUGAGAGGUUGAACGGCCACACUGGAACUGAGACACGGUCCAGACUCCUACGGGAGACAGCAGUGGGGAAUAUUGCACAAUGGGGGAAACCCUGAUGCAGCGACGCCGCGUGGAGGAUGAAGGUCUUCGGGUUGUAAACUCCUUUUAUUGGGAAAGAUGACGACGGUACCCCAAUGAAUAAGCCACGGCUAACUCUGUGCCAGCAGCCGCGGUAAGACAGAGGUGGCGAGCGUUGUUCGGAAUUACUGGGCUUAAGGGCGAGUAGGCGGUGGGACAAGUCUGAUGUGGAAUCUUAGGGCUUAACCCUAAACUGCAUUAGAAACUG